Small nuclear RNA from Choloepus didactylus (southern two-toed sloth), 110 nucleotides. NCBI's taxonomy places the organism in Eukaryota, Metazoa, Chordata, Mammalia, Pilosa, Megalonychidae. The record is from RefSeq and is a predicted model, not a curated record.
GUGCUCGCAUUGGCAGCACAUAUACUAAAAUUGGAAUGAUGCAGAGAAGAUUAUUAGCAUGGCCUCUGCUCAAGGAUGACAUGCAAAUUUGUGAAGCAUUCCAUAUGUUU